This 476-nucleotide ribosomal RNA is filed under the name uncultured bacterium. Its description in RNAcentral is "bacterial SSU rRNA". It matches the Rfam family "Bacterial small subunit ribosomal RNA", at positions 335 to 800 of the family's 1533-position model. The record is from RNAcentral.
ACUCCUACGGGAGGCAGCAGUGGGGAAUAUUGCACAAUGGGCGCAAGCCUGAUGCAGCCAUGCCGCGUGUGUGAAGAAGGCCUUCGGGUUGUAAAGCACUUUCAGUUGUGAGGAAGGUGGUGUCGUUAAUAGCGGCAUCAUUUGACGUUAGCAACAGAAGAAGCACCGGCUAACUCCGUGCCAGCAGCCGCGGUAAUACGGAGGAUCCAAGCGUUAUCCGGAAUCAUUGGGUUUAAAGGGUCCGUAGGCGGUUUUAUAAGUCAGUGGUGAAAUCCGGCAGCUCAACUGUCGAACUGCCAUUGAUACUGUAGAACUUGAAUUAUUGUGAAGUAACUAGAAUAUGUAGUGUAGCGGUGAAAUGCUUAGAGAUUACAUGGAAUACCAAUUGCGAAGGCAGGUUACUAACAAUAUAUUGACGCUGAUGGACGAAAAGCGUGGGUAGCGAAACAGGAUUAGAUACCCUGGUAGGAUAGCGU